Molecule: ribosomal RNA, 435 nt
Filed under: uncultured Roseburia sp.
Lineage: Bacteria; Bacillati; Bacillota; Clostridia; Lachnospirales; Lachnospiraceae
Description: partial 16S ribosomal RNA
Rfam family: Bacterial small subunit ribosomal RNA
Source: RNAcentral
ACGGAAGGCAGCAGUGGGGAAUAUUGCACAAUGGGCGAAAGCCUGAUGCAGCGACGCCGCGUGAACGAAGAAGUAUUUCGGUAUGUAAAGUUCUAUCAGCAGGGAAGAAGAAUGACGGUACCUGACUAAGAAGCACCGGCUAAAUACGUGCCAGCAGCCGCGGUAAUACGUAUGGUGCAAGCGUUAUCCGGAUUUACUGGGUGUAAAGGGAGCGCAGGCGGUAUGGCAAGUCUGAUGUGAAAGCCCGGGGCUCAACCCCGGUACUGCAUUGGAAACUACCAGACUAGAGUGUCGGAGAGGUAAGUGGAAUUCCUAGUGUAGCGGUGAAAUGCGUAGAUAUUAGGAGGAACACCAGUGGCGAAGGCGGCUUACUGGGCGAUAACUGACGCUGAGGCUCGAAAGCGUGGGGAGCAAACAGGAUUAGAUACCCUGGUA